Molecule: long non-coding RNA, 389 nt
Organism: Emys orbicularis (European pond turtle)
Lineage: Eukaryota; Metazoa; Chordata; Testudines; Emydidae
Exons: 3
Source: RefSeq, a predicted model, not a curated record
AACGUCAGCUUCUGGGGCAAACCCUGGCCCCAGUGCCAGCCCAUCAACGGGAAGACCCUGGAGGUGGAGGAGAAGGAGCCAUGUCUCAAUAUGCCACCAUGCCCGGAGGAGGAGGAAUAUGAUCAGCCCCUGUUAUCGUCAGCCCACCUGGCCAGCUCAGACCUCCAGCCCACCGCAGAGUAUCCUGAUGAAGUUUGAGGUGGAUCUGGCAGGAGCCAGGCGAAGGUGCUUCCCCGGAAGACCCAUCCCCCCCCCCCUUCUGCGGGGAGGGGGGGGGUGGGGUCAGGAUCCCCACACCAGCAGCUCUUCCCCUCCUUCCAGGGGCUCCCUAUGGAAACGCCCCAGCAGCUCCCCUUUGCAUCCAUCACAAUAAAGAGAGAGAAUGGGCC